AGAAUCAACGCUGGCGGCGUGCCUAACAUAUGCAAGUCGCACGAGAAAGGGUAGCAAUACCUGAGUACAGUGGCGCACGGGUGAGUAACACGUGACUAACCUACCCUCGAGUGGGGAAUAACCUAGGGAAACCUGGGCUAAUACCGCAUAACACUUACGAGUCAAAGCAGCAAUGCGCUUGGGGAGGGGGUCGCGGCCGAUUAGCUAGUUGGCGGGGUAAUGGCCCACCAAGGCAAUGAUCGGUAUCCGGCCUGAGAGGGCGCACGGACACACUGGAACUGAAACACGGUCCAGACUCCUACGGGAGGCAGCAGUGGGGAAUUUUGCGCAAUGGGGGAAACCCUGACGCAGCAACGCCGCGUGGAGGAUGAAGUCUCUUGGGACGUAAACUCCUUUCGAUUGGGAAGAUAAUGACGGUACCAAUAGAAGAAGCCCGGCUAACUUCGUGCCAGCAGCCGC
RNAcentral lists this ribosomal RNA (459 nucleotides) under uncultured bacterium. RNAcentral describes it as "SSU rRNA". It matches the Rfam family "Bacterial small subunit ribosomal RNA", at positions 26 to 518 of the family's 1533-position model. The record is from RNAcentral.